Molecule: ribosomal RNA, 254 nt
Filed under: uncultured bacterium
Lineage: Bacteria
Description: partial 16S ribosomal RNA
Rfam family: Bacterial small subunit ribosomal RNA
Source: RNAcentral
GACGAACCGUGCGAACGUUAUUCGGAAUCACUGGGCUUAAAGCGCGUGUAGGCGGGCCGGCACGUCCGUCGCUGAAAUCCCCCGGCUCAACCGGGGAACUGGCGGGGAUACGACCGUCCUGGAGGGACGUAGGGGGACCUGGAACUUCCGGUGGAGCGGUGAAAUGCGUUGAGAUCGGAAGGAACGCCCGUGGCGAAAGCGAGGUCCUGGACGUUUUCUGACGCUGAGACGCGAAAGCCAGGGGAGCGAACGGG